Molecule: unclassified non-coding RNA, 502 nt
Filed under: uncultured Acaulospora
Lineage: Eukaryota; Fungi; Glomeromycota; Glomeromycetes; Diversisporales; Acaulosporaceae
Description: SSU rRNA
Rfam family: Eukaryotic small subunit ribosomal RNA
Source: RNAcentral
CCAAUAGCGUAUAUUAAAGUUGUUGCAGUUAAAAAGCUCGUAGUUGAAUUUCGGAGUUUGUCGGUUGGUCGGGCUUCAUUGUCCGCACUGACCUGAUGGAUUCCUACCUUCUGAAUAACCAGCAUGCUAUUAAGUUAGUGCGUUGGGGAAGCAGAGCUAUUACCUUGAAAAAAUUAGAGUGCUUAAAGCAGGCUUAUGCUUGAAUAGAUUAGCAUGGAAUAAUAAAAUAGGACGGCAUGGUUCUAUUUUGUUGGUUUCUAGGAUCACCGUAAUAAUUAAUAGGGAUAGUUGGGGGCAUUAGUAUUCAAUUGUCAGAGGUGAAAUUCUUGGAUGUAUUGAAGACUAACUUCUGCGAAAGCAUUUGCCAAGGAUGUUUUCAUUAAUCAAGAACGAAAGUUAGGGGAUCGAAGACGAUCAGAUACCGUCGUAGUCUUAACCAUAAACUAUGCCGACUAGGGAUCGGACGAUGUUAAUUUUUUAAUGACUCGUUCGGCGCCUUACG